UUGUGGGACUUGUGUUAGGGAUUGGACAUUACUGGCUGGCUCAGGGGUAGAGUAGAAAGAAUGCAUGCUGUACAGAAAAGAAAGUAAGGCCUGAUCAGUGUGGAUGGGUGGUGGAGGGGGUCACGGGGGCUUCAUAAGUCUGGCUGCUCAAGGGGAAAUGGCUGUUGGUUCUUUUGUUGGCUCUCACAACAUCUUUGAUACAAAUUAUUGGAAUUGCAGGGCUUUGUUUGGUGGGGCUGGCCUGUUGCUGUCCACGUCACACUGUGCAGCCACAGCUUCCUUGUUGCAGUGAUUGGAUACUGCCAUUCCCUGUCCUCUGUAAGCACCACUGAUAUAAUCUUCUUCCAGCGUUCAAGAUUGGGCUUGCCCAUGUCACCUGUUUGUCUCUCCAUAUUCCACAAUGAGGACAAAAUAUUCCUGUAGAGUAGCCCCUAGUGGUAUUUGUCAAGUGGAAACUGCAGAAUGAUACCAUUUAACUGAAGAGGAUGAAGAUUCUUGUUUUUGUUUUUUUAAUUCAUGAGAAUAUCCUUGGUUGCACUCAGAGAACUCUCCACAUUUGGAAAAGGUCUCAGGGCUUUUAGACUCUCAGCUCAAACUCCAAGCUUUUCAGGGACCACUUAGCAUUAGAGAUACCUGUGCAGCCAGCCCACUCUCCAUAUUUCUUAGACUAAGAUACAUCACCAGUGAUUUGGAAUAAAUAAUAGAGAUGCUGAGCAGAGACAAGUCUGGAUUAAUGAAGCAUCUUAAUUUUGUAUUGCCUGGGAUAUUGGUCCUUACAGCCACUUAAAAUUGUUAAUAAGAAUUAUUCUUGUGUUUUCCAUAAUGGUUAGCUGGAUAUUUCUUGAAUAGAUUAGCUAUCCCUCUGUUUAUCUCAUUUAAAAUACUCACUGGUUAAGUCAUCACCAAUUUCACAUGUGUGGAGUCCAAAUCAGUGGGUCUGUCAUGUAGACCAGGCUUAUGCUUGGAUUACAAGAAGUUAUGCUCCAGUCACUUAUAGGUGCACCCACAGAGUCAGAGCCCAUGCAAAGGGCUGCAUCUCUUAAGGAAUUAUAAAUGAACAAAAGAGAGAAAGUUUUAUGCAUCUAGAAGAAAAACCGGAUGCUACAAAAUGGAGGGGGAGAUGCAAGAUUUUUUCUCAGAAAAGCAAAUAUCUACUUCUGGUCACUGAGCACCUCUGCCUGGCCUGCUACUACUUUUCUGAAUUUUUCACUCAACAUACCUUGACCCAAUGCCUACUCUGCCCAGGCACUGCCUUCUGUCUUAUGCCUCACAGGUCCCUUUUCUUUAGUGGCUCUUCAGUUAAAGUGAGAAGUGUGAAGGGUGGUUGAAGGCUUAUUUGUAGCUCCUGCUGCUGCUGAUCAUUGGCUUCACUUCACUUCACUGCCCCUGUUCAUUACUUUGACAUUUGGUGAGUUGAGAUCUACCCUCCCCUCACUGCUCUGAAAGGUUUCAGUGUCUUUAGCCAAAAAACAGCAUUCACUGUGUACAAUGACGUGUAUGCUGCCAAUGCUGAAUGAGAGCUGAGCUUGGAGGCCUUCCUCAGUGACUCAGCUAGUACUGCAUUUUGAUAGAGUGGAGGGCCCUGCAGGAGGAAAUAUUUGAGAUGUAUGCAGAGGACGGUGAGGUGUCCUGGGCUGGGGACCUCAGUUAUUACACUGGCAUCUUUAAGCUGCACAGCUUUGGUUUAUUGCCAAUAAAGCUUAAGUAGCUAGACAAGUUCUUUUGGGUUUUCCAAAUCCCAGCGCUUUGAUGACAGGACAUCUCUGAAGAAGGUAUCUUACUAAGAUCACCUCCUGGUGGCCCAUUCUCCCAUUUGUUCAGACCCUUGAGCAACUGCCAUAGGCAUACAUGCACCCAUCCAUUGGAGCUCUAUGUUGGCCUGCUUCCUGUUGUAGACUUUCUUAAUGUUGCCACCACCCACCCUCACUUAACUACUUCAUUAGUCCCAUUCUCUGAGGGCCCCAUUCUACUCAAUGAUAAAGGGUAAUUGAGGCACCAGAUACAUGAACCCAUGCUAAUCUCUUGCUUCUCUCAAGCAAGAAUGUUUCCAUAUAGUGUCACUGCACAUUCUAGAAGGGACUAAUGUUGAAUCUUUGUUUCUGAAUUCUGUCACUGAAUUGUGAAGCUUUUGGACAUUUGACAAGUCAGUGGAAGAACUUUUGGUGAUGGUGGUGUCCCUUGCUAUUUCCUUUUGAUAUUCCUUGGAAAUAACCAUCUUUUUAGCCAUGUGCAAAAAUCAGAGUGAGCAUUUGGCAUACACUUGGAUGUCAUGGGCUAAGUGGUUGAGAUUCUUAAGAUACUGUACAGAAAUGCAAAGGUUCAAAUAGACACAGUCACUCUAGAGUGGAAGGUGGAAGGCCAUGCUUUAGCAAAAGCAAUGGAAAAAAACCCAAUUCUACAAAGGGAAGUCCCCAUUCUAUAUAGGACCUGCUGCCAAUAUUCAAAUUUGGUGCUACUAGAGGUUAGCUAUAUGUUACCCCAAGUAGAAGAGAGAUUAACAUCCUUCCCACCACUGCGUCCAGUCACUAAAGCUCCCAAUUCUUCCUCCUCAAUAAGUUUUCCACCUUUCAAUGACCAUUUUCACAGCUUUAGUUAGGAUGUUCAUUGAUGUAAAUCUGAACAAUGGCAGCAGAUAACUCAUUUGUUCCCCUACUCCCCACCAUAGUCUUUAGUUUCUGCCUACUACAAUCCUCUCUAUGCAGCACAUAAUAGACACUGCAGAGUGUUUCUUCAGCUGAAUGAAAUGCCACAAAUUCAUUUAUCUAUAGCAUGGUUGCAAUGGGGUCCAUUUGUGUUUUCUUUGUUAAUUGAGGUAUAUGAUUGACAUAUAACAUUAUAUUAAUUUUGGUGAUGAUUCGGUCCAUUCUUGCUCAAACUCAUCCUAUAGUUCUCCUUUGCCUGCUGAAAUAGGUACAAGCUCCAUAAAUGUCCCUUCGCAGUCUUUCCAGUUCCAUCUUCCACUGUGCUCCAAGAUGGACCCAAGGCUCACCACAUUCAACUUAGUCUUUGUCCUUUUCCCAUCGGCAAAUACUUUCUGUGUGUCCAACCCAUCCUAUCUGAAGUUCCUCCAUUUGUCUCCUUCAGGGUAAAUCCUAAACAUUCUUCAAGGUCCAUGAAAUGUCUUGACCAUUUGGUAUGAAAUAACCACCUCCUCUCAGUACUUUCUACCCGUCCUUUGGCUCCCCCCAGAUUAUUUUACCCUGUGUCACUUAUCACCAUCCGAAAUGCAUUUUACUUGUUUAUUAGAAUAUAUGUUCCAUGAUGGCAGGGGUCUCUAUAGUUUUGAUUACUGUUAGAUCCCCAGUACUGACUAGAUUAUUAAUAUUUUUGAAUGAAUACAUGAAUAUAAUUUAUCAUGAAGCCCUACUGAACAUCUCGGUUGGAAGUUCUGUCUCCAUCGUUGGUGAUGUUUUGGCACUUUGUUUAUAUUGUUCUUCUCAUAUAGUGCCUUGUACUGUGAGUAUAUGGUUAUUUCUUAUAUACCUACAUACAUUUCUAGUAUAGUGAGGCUAAAAUGCAUUUGUUUUGAAAUUUAAAAUAACUCAGUUGGACAAUGAGAUAUUACCACAUACCCACCACUAUGACUAAAAUUAAGAAGACCAACAAAACCAAGUGUUGGUGAGGAUGUGGAGGAAUUAGACCUGGUAAACAUUGCUGAUAGGAGUGUUAAAAUGGUACAACCACUUUGGGAAAAGGAUCUGGCAAUUUCCUAUAAAAGUGAAAAUAUAUCUACCCCAAGACCCAUCAAUUCCACAUCUAGAUAUAUACCUCAGAGACAUGAAAAUAUACGUACAGGUCACAAAGAAUUGCACACAAAUGUUCAUACCAGCAGUAUUCAUAAUAGUCAGAAAGUGAAAACAGUGCCCAUUAAUGAGAGAAUGGGCAAAUAAACUGGGGUAUAUCCAUAACCACUCAAUAAUAAAAUGGAAAAAAAUGCUGAUUUACAAAACCACAUGGGUCAAUUCUUAUGCAGAAGGUACAUACCUUAUAAUGCUGUUUAUGUACACUUUAGAACAGAAAAAAAUAUGGUAGAACAAUGUCAGAAUAGGGGUUGCCUGUGGGGAUGGGAGUGGAAUUAACUGAGAAGGAGCAUGUGAGAAAUUUCUAGGGGAAUGGUAAUGUUCUAAAUCUUUAUAAGGGUUUGGGUAGCUGAUUUUUCAAAACCCAGCAAAUGGCACGUGUAAUAUUUGUGCAUUUCAUCAUAAGUAAAUUUUAUAUAAAACCUCCCACAAACAAAUAUUAAAUACUAGUUGAUAAUAUGCAUGCUAUAAUCAUAUAUCAUAUAGGUUAAAGCAUAUUGAUAUCUGCAAAUAAUUUGAAAUGCACCAGAAUUAAGAUGUAUUUAUUGAUGAAUAGAGGAUGGAUAAAUGGAUAAGCCAAAUGUAAAAAAAAGU
Non-coding RNA from Manis javanica (Malayan pangolin), 4394 nucleotides. The record is from RefSeq and is a predicted model, not a curated record. Lineage: Eukaryota; Metazoa; Chordata; Mammalia; Pholidota; Manidae.